RNAcentral lists this long non-coding RNA (518 nucleotides) under Ananas comosus (pineapple). RNAcentral's name for it is "long non-coding RNA (ACOM_LNC033581)". Lineage: Eukaryota; Viridiplantae; Streptophyta; Magnoliopsida; Poales; Bromeliaceae. The record is from RNAcentral.
AAAGGAGGGCGGCUCGUCCUUCUCAACUGUGACACCCCAAUAGUCCCACAUCGGAUGGAAAUGGGAUUGUCAUUGGGUUUAUAAGAGACUCAGACACUAGUAAUAAUAAUUGAGCUUAAGCAUUUUGGGCCGAUGGUUGGGCCCAACAAGUUAUUGUUGCUAGUGGGCUGAGUUGUUACAUUUGGUAUCAGAGCCGGUUCACCAGCCAGAAAAGUGUGGCGGGUAUCGGCUGAGCCAGGGUCUAGAUGACGGGCUAGCAAUACGAGUCUCACAUCACCUGGUGCUCUUGGGAUGUGUGUGAUUGGACUGACGAGGACGUCAGGGCCUUAACGGGGGGAGUCUGUGACACCCCAAUAGUCCUACAUCGGAUGGGAAUGGGGUUGUCAUUGGGUUUAUAAGAGACUUAGACACUAGUAAUAAUAACUGGGCUUAAGCAUUUUGGGCCAGUGGUUGGGCUGAAUGAGUUAUUGUUGCUAGUGGGCUGGGUUGUUACAUCAACUCGGUCCUUUCUACCAUUC